This is a long non-coding RNA of Oreochromis aureus, 1383 nucleotides long. The record is from Ensembl. Lineage: Eukaryota; Metazoa; Chordata; Actinopteri; Cichliformes; Cichlidae.
AGUACAGAAAGAUGGCGAAUAGAAGUAGGACUGAGUCGUAUGUGUGGACAGACCAUGAGGUGGAAUUAUUCCUCAACUUAAUACUGGAAUAUAAAACGGCAAAAACACAAGAAAACGUGGACUGGGAGACUUGUCAGGGGAAAUACGCUGACAUUCACGCUCUUUUUUUAGAGCAGUACCCCUCUGAAAAGUCACAAGAAUUUCCUCAUCGCAAGGAAGAUAUAACCAGGGCCAUCAUCACCACCAAGCUGAAGGCAAUAAGGGGGAAGUAUAGGCAAGCGGUAGUCUCCGGUCAAAAAAGUGGUCAUGGUAGAGUGGUCCUACUAUACUUUGAGCUGUGUGAACAGAUAUGGGGUGGCUCGCCAGCGACUACUGCCAUUCCGUCAGGUAUAGAAACAGCAGAUGUUGACACAGCUUCUCACCGUUCGGAAUCUGCAUCUACUUUGUCUGCACCUGACAUCUCGACUGUGGAACUGUCAGAUGUGUCUGAUCAAGCACAGUCUGAGGACAGCGAUUUGCCCACUUCUGUGGUAAAGGAACGAAGAGAUCUGCUUAAUACAAAACUCAAAGGCCACAGACAGGACAGACUUAAAAGAAGACUUUCAACUGAGACACAGCUGCUGAAUGUUGCCGAGGUGGACAUACAGAUGAAGAAAAGAAUUCUGGAUAUGAUGGAGACAUCUGAGAGGCGAGCUUCUGAACAUUACAGUACAUUAUCAGUCACUCUUGAGAGACUUACAAGUUCAAUUGCAGAUGGAUUUUCACUGCUAAGACAAGCCAUGGAUCCACCACCACCACUACCUUUCAACAUGCCACCAUACCAUGGUGGGCACAUCUAUCCAUGUGCACCACCACCACACACUGUAUCUGGCACAUUUCCACCCAACACUACCAUAACUGAGCAGCCAAGCACUGCACCUAGCCCGCUGUUACCUUUGCAGGGAACAGGGGAGUUUUCCUUCACACGAGCACUUAUGGAGGAUGAUAUUUGAAAUAAUCUGCAUCAUUACUUUUGCUGGGCAGUAAAUGACUAACGUGGGAGGCUGUUUGGGCUGCAUCUGUACAUUUUAUUUAUCGUUUUAAUUUAUUUUCAUUAUGCUUUAUGUUAAAACAUUGAAAAUAUGUUUAUUUUUAAUUUUUUUUGCAUUUUAAGAAUGCUCAACUGUUGACAUGUUACAUGUUUUCCAUUAGCUGUUCUGCAGCUCCAAUGUUUUAUGUUUCAAACAGCUGUUAAAUGUAAGAGGUCUUCCUUGUGUUCUCAAAAAACCUUUUAUCUUACUCCUGAGAAGUUUGUGGGUUUGUUUUUUGAAAGGCAGCUUCUUUUGUGUAAGUUUUCCAGUGUCUUCUUGAUUAAAAAUGUUAAUAACUUAAGACUGUAUUAUG